Molecule: transfer RNA, 72 nt
Filed under: Camelus bactrianus (Bactrian camel)
Lineage: Eukaryota; Metazoa; Chordata; Mammalia; Artiodactyla; Camelidae
Also listed under: 1 other name
Rfam family: tRNA
About the family: Transfer RNA (tRNA) molecules are approximately 80 nucleotides in length. Their secondary structure includes four short double-helical elements and three loops (D, anti-codon, and T loops).
Source: Rfam by way of RNAcentral
GAGGGCAUAGCUCAGUGGUAGAGUGCAUAGUUAGCAUGCAUGAGGUCCUGGGUUCAAUGUUCAGUACCCUCG